GCCUAAGAGACCCUAUAGGAAUGGGUGCCCGGUGUCCAGCCGGGAAGCUGCAAGUUCGAAUCCUGCCUUAGGCU
This 74-nucleotide transfer RNA is filed under the name bacterium. RNAcentral describes it as "tRNA-Gly". It matches the Rfam family "tRNA". Rfam says of the family: Transfer RNA (tRNA) molecules are approximately 80 nucleotides in length. Their secondary structure includes four short double-helical elements and three loops (D, anti-codon, and T loops). The record is from RNAcentral.